RNAcentral lists this transfer RNA (65 nucleotides) under Chelopistes texanus. Its description in RNAcentral is "tRNA-Ile". The record is from RNAcentral. Lineage: Eukaryota; Metazoa; Arthropoda; Insecta; Psocodea; Philopteridae.
AGUAAGGUGCCUGAUAAAAGGGACAUUUUGAUGUAAUGUAAUAUAGCUAAUUUAGCUCCUUACUA